This 2250-nucleotide long non-coding RNA is filed under the name Helianthus annuus (common sunflower). RNAcentral describes it as "hypothetical non coding rna". Lineage: Eukaryota; Viridiplantae; Streptophyta; Magnoliopsida; Asterales; Asteraceae. The record is from RNAcentral.
GCCCGGCGCCAGCCCACAAAUCAUCCGGCUCGUGAUUUGCCUUCAUGGGUGAACCCGAAUUCCCACUUCUGAACCCGAAAGAUGCGGACUUUCUAAGCUUGUUAGCAUCCUCACUAUUGAAACCCCAAUCCAGUUUCCCAUCAGGCGAACCCCAUUCGGAAUAAGUGGAAGAUUGACUCAUUGACCGGAGACUUGGGUUGGUCCCCACGCCACGGUCAAUGAAACUCUGGCUACGUUGUUUUGCGAACGAACCAGACCUCGAGUUCAUCACCGCUUGUGCUACUGCAGCCGAUGAAUCAAACCCGAAACUUGAUCUAAGCGGGUUAGAGUUCUGCCUAAUUUGUUGCCGAGAAGGCGAACCGUAAACAUCAUCUAGAUUAGUGGGCUUCAUUUCCCCAAAUCUGUUGUUGUAAAGAUUAGUGGAUAAAUUAUCAAUCAUUUGCUGCCUUUGUAGCAACUCAAGUUCCAUCUCUAAAUCUCUAGCGUUUAAAGACGUCUUCAAACGGCUACCCGGAAGCUGUAACGCGGGUGGCGUUACAUUAACAAAUUUGUUCUGCCACAUAUUCCCGUUAGGUGACAUCGGCGGAGUUGAACCGACACCUAACGGACUCAUCGAACCCAUUUCAAUCGGCCCAACAGAGCCCGCUUUCGGCGAUGGAACAGCUGACCCGGUAGACGCAUACAAAGGUCUUAAUUCAUCAACCUUGUGCGCGAAAAAACACACUUUUCGCGCACACCCAGUUUCAUCUUUACAUAAACGUGUCCUGUAUUGCGCAGGGUGAAGCCAAGACUCAAACACCCCGUGCGCAAAUUCACAUAAAUCUCCUUUCACGCAGCUUCCUUUACGAAACUCCGGACACGGGACACACGUAUACUGGUGCUUCCUCGGAUCACGCCGCCUCGCGUUCUCGCCCGGAUGAACAAACGGGCACUCCGUCCAGUCAUGAGAAUAAGCCCGAGAACACGGUUUCACCUUAAACAUAUACAUCCGAAACUCAUCGGUACCGUAAACACCCUCGUUAAUAUCCGGUAACGAUACGUCAACCGGAUAUUCCUUUUUCGCCGUAACAACUUCCGCUUCUUCAAUUUCGGCUUCGUUUAUCAACAAACCUUUCAAAAGCAUCUCCAACGCCUUCCGCUUCGCCGAUUUCACGCCUCGAGCAAUCAAAUCCACCGGUUUGUUCCCGUUGGCGUCUGUUAAAUUCUGAUCCGCACCAGCCUCGAGUAACAACUUCACGGUUUCGACCGACGAAGAAGACCCGCCAGCCGCAACACAGUGGAGUGCAGUUGCGCCAUCAGAGUCCGACACUUUGUUCACGUCGGCUUUUCCCGAACCGAUUAUAUAUUUCACGACGUUUGUGCUUCCGUACACGGAAGCAAUCAUUAACGGAGUUCGUUUUUCCAACCCCAUCUUCGUUUUACACCCGUUUUUUCUUCCGUACCAUAAACCGACAUCGUCUAACCUCGUACCGUUGGUUUCUACCUCGUACUGGAGCCGAAAAACAUCAUCUGUAGCUGCUAAUUCUAGUAAGCUCGAGGAAUUUAAGAAAGCCCCGAUUUGUUUUUCUUGAAACUUUAUUUCUCCCUCCAUGAUACCAAAUUUACUUUUCGAAACUUUACACAUCAAACCUGCAAAUAACAAACAACAACGGUACGAUUAUUAAUUUAUUAUUAUUGUUAUUAUUUGGGAUAACAAGAACAGACAGAAAUGAGUUGUGUGUAUGGAAACAAUAACAUAUGAAUGAGUGAAAGAUUCUGCUGUACAUACCUGAUUGGAUUGAGGAAGAACAGAAGCUAGGUUGGUUGUUAAGGUUAUAGCUGUAAAGAGUGUGAUUGUGAUGAUGAAGCUGUCUGAUGAGAUGAAACCUAUGUUAUGUAUGAAGAUUUUGAGAAUGAAUUGGGGUGAACGAUGGUUAUAUAUUGUUUGGAUUUGAAUAAUUGAAAUAUAGGAUACACACACGCGGGAUGGGAGUGGGGGAAGGGGGGAGGAAGGUGUGACUUUACUUCGUUAUGUGUUUCUGUUUGUCGUGUUGCAGGGCCAAGUCAAAGUAUUCAAUAAUGGUGGAAUUGUGGAGUGCUCACUUCAAAGAAAUGAAAUGAAAUGAAAUGAAAUGUAAAUUCAGAUUGGAAUGUAGUUUUUGGUUUGUUUAUAGUGAGUUGAGUGAGGAAAGUAUCAAGUAGAGAUAUGGAGUGAUAUCAAUAAUUCAAUAUAUUAUGUUGAAGUUAUUUUCGUUUUGUUAUCUUUCUUAG